Molecule: long non-coding RNA, 725 nt
Filed under: Hordeum vulgare
Lineage: Eukaryota; Viridiplantae; Streptophyta; Magnoliopsida; Poales; Poaceae
Description: long non-coding RNA (HVUL_LNC006982)
Source: RNAcentral
AAACCCUUUUUCCUUUAUAUCAAGAUCACCUUCAUCAUGUUGGGAUACACUACUAGCUCAUGAAGCCAAGUGGCACUUCCAACCAAAGUUGGUGAUCUGAUCCAAAGAUUAUUUUCAUUCAUUAAAAACAUUAAUUGGUGAUUUAAAAUAUUAUUUUCCUAUUUUAUAUUUAUGUUUGUUUCUAACGCCAGGAAUGAUAUUCCCACAAGGAAAAUUGCUUUCCUGCCUUAGAAAAUUCUGAGUAAAUUCAUGGAAGCUCAGAAGGACAUAUAUUUUCCAUAUAUAAGAUUUUCAACCCUAUUUUAUAUUAAUAUUAUUUGAGUAAAACCCUGAAAACCAUUUCUGUCUGUUUUAGCUUUUUGAGAUGUUUCCAAAGGAAAUAAUCUCAAUAAAUUCCCAUAAAGUUACAGGAGCCCUCCCAAGCCAUAUUAGGUGCUCACAUAAAAUCUCACCAUGAUCCAAGGUGGGGAAGUGCACCAAAUGAUCCCAAAACCCUCUCUGUCCAGAGAGGAGUUGGAACAACUCUACAUUGCAAAGUUUCUCCAAUGGAGCUGAAACUUUGCAGAGGUGUUUGACACCCCAAAUGAGGACUCCACACCAAAGAUGAGAUUUGUGAGACUCUGAUUGGCCACACUUCCUUUGUAAAGGACAGUACUGGUCAUUUUGGAGCAUUUCCAAGUUUACAAAGCUAAACUUGUUCAAUGGAGCUCAAAUUUGGUGGAACC